RNAcentral lists this long non-coding RNA (888 nucleotides) under Aplysia californica (California sea hare). RNAcentral describes it as "uncharacterized LOC118478895". Lineage: Eukaryota; Metazoa; Mollusca; Gastropoda; Aplysiida; Aplysiidae. The record is from RNAcentral.
UCCUAGACGGUCAUAUAAUCAGGCCACCUGCGCGCUACUGACCUAGAUUCCUUCUGGGCUGACACACCCGUGUAGUAAGCCCACAACCUUGUAGAUCAUUAGUAGUGAUAAGCCUACGCAGGGUGCGGCGGUCAGUUUGAAUUGUUGUUUUCUCAUGCUUUGACACUGGAUUAUUUCUGCCUAAUGCAGUUUGCAUUUCAAUUCAUCUGGAUUAUGUGAAUAUUUUCUACAUCAUUGUGUGUGUUGAGGAACAGAAGUGGUGACUAAUUAAUUAAUUAAUUAAGAUUGACCAGCAGUCUUGAGAUCGCAAAUUUGAAGUGCUGUUUGGCUGCACUGUAGGCCUACUGUUCAUUUUCAGAUUCUUCAUCGCCAUCGUACUCAGUGAAUGCCUGGAUUCUUUUAAUUGAGGCCUAAUGCAGUUUUUUUUUCCAAAUCAUCUGGAUUGUGUGAAUAUCAAAUAUCUCUUCCAUCAGUUGCUUACAUGCUUCUCUUCUAGGCCUAUUUAUUGCUUUCAUCAUGUGUGGUUAUGACUCUGUUGGACUGUGACUGACACCUUCAAAAUAAACUGAAGGAAUAAGAACAACAAUGGGAAGAAAAUGCUCAGUUGGUGGAUGCAAAACUGGCUAUGACAGUCAGAAAGGUGCAGAAAAAGUGACCUUGUAUGGAUUUCCUUCGGAUGAAACAGAAUGUCGGGCAUGGACUGCUAGCUUACCAAACAUUUUAUCCUAUGAAAAGGUGUCAAAACAUAUCAGUGUGUGCCCUCCAUUUCCGUAAAACUCUAACUCAACUCAAGUCAACUUUCUGUCUUUCCAUCGCUUUUGUCUGUCUAGAAUAAUUUUUUACAUGUCCGUUAGUUUGAACACAAACACAGGGAAGCUAAACCAUUGA